GAUGAACGCUGGCGGCGUGCCUAAUACAUGCAAGUCGAGCGAACGGACGAGAAGCUUGCUUCUCUGAUGUUAGCGGCGGACGGGUGAGUAACACGUGGAUAACCUACCUAUAAGACUGGGAUAACUUCGGGAAACCAGAGCUAAUACCGGAUAAUAUUUUGAACCGCAUGGUUCAAAAGUGAAAGACGGUCUUGCUGUCACUUAUAGAUGGAUCCGCGCUGCAUUGGCUAGUUGGUAAGGUAACGGCUUACCAAGGCAACGAUGCAUAGCCGACCUGAGAGGGUGAUCGGCCACACUGGAACUGAGACACGGUCCAGACUCCUACGGGAGGCAGCAGUAGGGAAUCUUCCGCAAUGGGCGAAAGCCUGACGGAGCAACGCCGCGUGAGUGAUGAAGGUCUUCGGAUCGUAAAACUCUGUUAUUAGGGAAGAACAUAUGUGUAAGUAACUGUGCACAUCUUGACGGUACCUAAUCAGAAAGCCACGGCUAACUACGUG
RNAcentral lists this ribosomal RNA (497 nucleotides) under uncultured bacterium. Its description in RNAcentral is "partial 16S ribosomal RNA". It matches the Rfam family "Bacterial small subunit ribosomal RNA", at positions 28 to 507 of the family's 1533-position model. The record is from RNAcentral.